This 21-nucleotide non-coding RNA is filed under the name Arabidopsis thaliana (thale cress). The record is from RNAcentral. Lineage: Eukaryota; Viridiplantae; Streptophyta; Magnoliopsida; Brassicales; Brassicaceae.
GAGCUGUGAUGGGCCGAGCAG